Molecule: small RNA, 560 nt
Filed under: Pan troglodytes (chimpanzee)
Lineage: Eukaryota; Metazoa; Chordata; Mammalia; Primates; Hominidae
Description: retained intron
Source: RNAcentral
AAAUAUUUUGGUUGUGAGCUGGGAGCACAGACCCAGUUUGAUGUUAAGAAUGACCGUUACAUUGUCAAUGGAUCUCAUGAGGCGAAUAAGCUGCAAGACAUGUUGGAUGGAUUCAUUAAAAAAUUUGUUCUCUGUCCUGAAUGUGAGAAUCCUGAAACAGAUUUGGUAAGUGCUUUUGUGGUUGUCGAAAGAAAAAGCCAUAUACCUGCUUCUGUGAUACCGCUAAGUCACCUUCCUGAGAAGGCAGAGCAAAUGUAAUUUUAAAUCAAACACAAAACUCCAGUUUUCGAGAUAUUUCCAUUCUUUUUUUAAAAGUAGGUCACUGUGUGAAAAAAGUUUGCAUGUGAAGCUGUCUGUGGUUUAGAUGUCCUCUGAUUAGAUAUUUUCAUGUUAUAUUAUGGAUAACAUUUGUUAUUUUUUUGGCAGCAUGUCAAUCCAAAGAAGCAAACAAUAGGUAAUUCUUGUAAAGCCUGUGGCUAUCGAGGCAUGCUUGACACACAUCAUAAACUCUGCACAUUCAUUCUCAAAAACCCACCUGAGAAUAGUGACAGUGGUACAGG